CUUAUAAAGUUUCUAGUCGAAAUCCGAUUUCAAAUCAUAAUCCAUUCAAAAUUCGAAUUUCGAAUUUUGAAUUCCCAAAAUACCAUCUAAUAAUCCAUUCAAAAUUCGAAUUUUGAAUUUUGAACCCCCAACAAAUUAUCAAAAUAUCCUCCAAUAAUCCAUUCAAAAUUCGAAUUUCGAAUUUUGAAUUCCCAAAAUAUCAUCCAACAACACAUUCGAAAUUCGAUUCGAAUUUCGAAUUCCUAACCAAUUUCCAAAACAUCCUCCAACAACCCAUUCGAAAUUCGAUUUCGAAUUUCGAAUUCCCAACCAUUUCCCAAAAUAUCAUCAAACAACCCAUUCGAAAUUCGAUUUCGAAUUUCGAAUUCCCCAACCAAUUUCCCAAAAUAUCAUCCAACAACCCAUCCGAAAUUUGAUUUCGAAUUUCGAAUUCUCAACCAAUUCUCAAAACAUCAUCCAACAACCCAUUCGAAAUUCGAUUUCGAAUUUCGAAUUCUCAACCAAUUCCCAAAACAUCAUCCAACAACCCAUUCAAAAUUCGAUUUCGAAUUUCGAAUUCCCUAACCAAUUCCCAAAAUAUCAUCUAACAACCCAUUCGAAAUUCGAUUUCGAAUUUCGAAUUCUCAACCAAUUCCCAAAAUAUCAUCCAACAACCCAUUCAAAAUUCGAUUUCGAAUUUCGAAUUCUCAACCAUUUCCCAAAACAUCAUCCAACAACCUAUUCGAAAUUCGAUUUCGAAUUUCGAAUUCCCAACCAAAUUUCCAAAAUAUCAUUCAACAACUCAUUCAAAAUUCGAUUUCGAAUUUUGAAUUCCCUAACCAACUCCCAAAAUAUCUUCCAACUAUCCAACAACUCAUUCGAUUUCGAAUUCGAAUUUUGAAUUCCCAACCACUCCCCAAAUAUCCUCCAACCAUCCAACAAAUAAUUCAAAAUUUGAAUUUCGAAUUUUGAAUUCUUAACUAACUCCUCCCCUCCCAUUAUAAAUACGGGAACCGAAAUCAAAUUCAG
This 1008-nucleotide long non-coding RNA is filed under the name Ananas comosus (pineapple). Its description in RNAcentral is "long non-coding RNA (ACOM_LNC013983)". The record is from RNAcentral. Lineage: Eukaryota; Viridiplantae; Streptophyta; Magnoliopsida; Poales; Bromeliaceae.